Long non-coding RNA from Coregonus clupeaformis (lake whitefish), 710 nucleotides. RefSeq lists it as uncharacterized. The transcript is spliced from 3 exons. The record is from RefSeq and is a predicted model, not a curated record. NCBI's taxonomy places the organism in Eukaryota, Metazoa, Chordata, Actinopteri, Salmoniformes, Salmonidae.
CAGAAGACUCCCUGGACCAACUGCCUCCUCCAUCUCCCCUGAUCACACCACCACAGCAGCCUCGUCUGGUGUCCCUGGCCCCCUGCAAUUCGAAUACAGCCACCUCCACAGUCCAUAACACCUCCUCAAGGCAUGUCCACCUCCUCCAAAACUACUGCAGCUUCCUCCAGAGCCAUUCCUGAACCUGUGACCAGAAACAAGCUACAUGGGGACAAUACCAGAAUAAAUGAUCGAGUGAUUCUGUUUCUUCACUGCAGAGCUGAGAUUGUUGUAUGCCCCAUAUACAGUAUAUAGCGUUCUGUUGGUGGCAAGACAUUUUCAUAAUAAUUGAAAUUGAAAAACUUGAAGUGUUGAAUGAAACGUGGUUUUGUUGAUCAGUUCAUACACCAUGUGCCAUGGAAUCGGUACAUCAAAAAAUAUCUCCCCAGUUAUUUUGUAACCUGUAUGGCGUAGCUGUGAACAUGUUUGUCCUCAAAUGAAACUUGUAUAUUUUUCUAUUUAUGACGAUCUUUUCCAGCCAAUUUUGGUAUUUAAUACAUGGCAGACAAACAAGUUCCCAACCUUGUCCCCCUUCCACUUGUCUCCUCCAUUUUUGCGGUAAUGCUGCAAUCAGUUGAUUUUGGAUUGAACAAACAUUCCCAUAUACAGUGCCCUCCGUAAUUAUUGGGACAGUGAAGCAUUUUUUCUUAUUUUGGCUCUAUACUUCAUAA